UCGAGCAGCUGGCACGUAGACAACCCAUCAGGCGAUACGUGUACCCUCCACCGCUUUUAGCCAUUUGGGUCCAGCGAGAUGCAUCUAAUGUCCUCUCAUCCCGUUCUUUCGCUCCAUCUCUCUCUCAUCCCCAUCCAUAUCUUCUGCUUCCACUAAUAUGCGCAUCCGUUCCUUCAACUCUUGCAGAGCCAGCGGAAUUUGCCGCGCUGGGAGCCGGCUGUCCCGCGAGCGUCGUUCCCAGGCAUGUGUCAAUCUUGGGAGUCUCCACAGCGUCUCUUUCCACUGGAGCGCUGCAGCCGGAUCCCCGUCCGCUCCCCUCCCCCCGGUCUCUCUCUCUCUCUCUCUCUCUCUCUCCCUCUCAUAUUUCUUCGUCUCGCGAUCUAAUUCUGUUAAGUGUAUUUGCAGGCCGAUGUGAAGCUAGUCAAGUCGCCGACGGCCCCCGUUCCAGACCACCUACAUCUAGAGCGCCGCGGACGGAUCCCGUCGUCCCCGUCAUGCCCGUGUCAAGGACCUCCAGUGUCCGCGUCGCCGGUGGGAUUAAUUCUUUUUCGCCUAUUUUCCUGAUUCUCAUGGUCAGGAUUUUUUUUGUUGCCUCACCCAAGGUUCCUUCGUUCCUUUCUCUCCCAUGUAUUGGCUGUCAGUUUGUUGGUUUUAAGGAGGCCGGUUGAUAUGAAGGAUAACAUGUAAAUGUGUAUAAAUUCAUGAGAAUCGUUUUAAGGGAGCGACGUGGGAUAAAAAACGAACGGAAUCAACGCAUGACACGAACGAAGUCAACGAACGCACGACCAAACAGAGUUUGCUCGCGUGCGUGACGGUUGGAAGCACGAGCAGAAACUCUGUUAUUUCUCACGUUGGACGUGACCACAGGUUGAAUACUAAAACCGCAG
Molecule: long non-coding RNA, 887 nt
Filed under: Triticum aestivum (bread wheat)
Lineage: Eukaryota; Viridiplantae; Streptophyta; Magnoliopsida; Poales; Poaceae
Description: long non-coding RNA (TAES_LNC021750)
Source: RNAcentral